AGCCCGUACAGGUCUCUUCUCAUCUACCCCUAAAAAAGGUCUCUUCUAAUCUGGUUCGAUACCCACCAGCUCUUAAUCUCGUUCGAUCCCCACCAGACCCCUCGUCCACAUGCGCCAUUUCUCCUGAUUUGCUGCAGGCGAAGAAGAUGUCGCUUGUGCCAUCAGGAAACUAAUCGCAAGGGAGAAGACGACGUGGUGCUCAACCUAAUCAUGGUCGGCGGGUAGCGGCCAUAGCUGAUGUGCUGGAUGCUGGCGGGUCGGAGGAUGCAGUGAUGGAGCUCACGGUGAAGGGCGCACCGAUUCGUGGGUUUGCUGGGCGAACUUGCGAUAGAGAACGGUUGGAUCUGAGGCACGGGACAGCGGGGAGGCACCGGGGCUAUGGUCUGCUAGGCGUUGUGGUUCUAGUGUUCGCUCAGCCGCAGCUGGAGAGUUUGGUAUGAAACUAUGAAUCCCUUCCUUUUCUGUCAUCAUUCUGUCAAUUCUCCUCUUGCAUGGAAGUACAUAUAUGUAUGUAAUAAGUUCAUUUAUUUUGUUUCACACUAAAAUUUAAUUAGAAGUAAGGUGAUAAUUUUGAAGGUUUUUUUCAUAAGCAUCUGUUUUAAAAUGAAGCAUUAAGUAUCUUCUUGUAAAUUUAAUCUGCCAAAUAUCCUUGUACAUAAUUGUUUUGAAGGAUUUCAUUAACAUGUUGUUCUGUACUGCGUAUGACAUUGAAGAUUUUCUCAUGUUUUCUUAAACUGGAAAGGUCAUAUGAGAAUAGAAGUUUUGUUACCAAAAAUAAUAAAGUGACAAAAGUACAUGUAUGAAUGUAUUUCAGAAAACAUUGCAAUAUGACCUACUUUUGCUAGUCUUGUAUACAUGUCAUUUCGAGCUAUUUAAGAUGUCAAGCAACCUGGAGUGAACAUUAGUUUGAUUGAUGCUUGUACUGAUUUGGAAGUAAUGUAAUUAGUUAGUGGAUUUGCUUUGCUGCUAAUUCUAAAUGCAGGAACGUUGUUUAUAGUCAAAAUGGCAACACCAGGCAAAUCAAUCCAUCCGUAUGUGGAAUAUCAGAGAGCCUACUGGUCAGCUUAUAUGGUGUUUUGCUAUUUAAGCUUAUGAAGCAAGGUAUGUUCCUCUCUAUUGUGUUUUCAUCAUACAAAUUAGGAAAAACAUAGUUUCUUCACAUUGUGAAGUGAAGUGUAAUAUGUAGAACUCUGGUCUAUUAAGUAUAUCUGAGCUGAAUAUCCAGCCUUUUGACGAAUGUGGUGGUAGUGGUGAUCUAAUAUAUGUUCCGGUAAUUUUUACUACUUAGCAAAAGUAGUCAUAAAAUAUAACAAUGUGACGAAAGUAUAAUAUAUGGAGUAAAUAAGAAUUAUUUUUAUUUUACAUUAGUGAUUAAACGUGAGUCACUAUUCAUGAGUCGAAUUAUCAAUGUUUCAUACCUGUCAAGAAGUUCCUGUGUUUCACGUAUAUCUAGAUCUGUAUAUAUAUUCUUGUGGCACUUUCUGACUUUAGGAACAAACCUAUCUAAUCAACAAUGGAUGUCUCUGGUUAUCUAUUUUCUUUGUAAAUAAUAGAAGUGCUUGUAAGAUUAUUGGACUUACCAUUGAAUUUAUGCACAUUUGUUAUGGUCACAAUAAGGAUAGUUUGGUUGCCAAUCACAUCCAUGGUUGAAGGAUAAGUAAACUUUUCACAUAAUAUGACUUUGAUUUUAUCAUCCUUGAGGUGUUUUAUUUGAAUAAAUAGUGCUAACUACAUGGAGGAGGUUAGAUGAAAAUUUAAGGCACGCAUAUGCAUUAUGCACUUACUCUGGUAUUAGAAUUUCAAAUUCAUGGAUAUAUGAAGACUGUAUGUUAUUUCUUCUUAUUCUCGUUUCCAACCGCUUCAUUUGUGCCCAUAAUCCAAUUGUAUCUGUAAAUAUGGAUAUUAAUUAUAUAACAAUUAGAAAUAUUAGUUAGUUGAAAAUAUUAAUUGCAACAAUAACAUACCUCAGCAUUGUAUUUUUUCCCGUUUUUGUAUUUUGCCCUUGGUAGCAUACCCGAAGUAAUAAUCUGGAAAGCCUUUUAGAGAUCCUUUAACCUCCUUUUCCAUUGUACUAUAUAUAUAGAGAGGUGUUGCUAAAAGGAGGGCACGAUAGGGCCGGUCGGGGGCCUUUCUGCCCACGGCCUGGCAAGAGGGAAGGGAUUUCCUUCUUAAUUCUUGCUUUAUUAAAUUGAUACAUCUCCUCUCUUUAUAUAGAGAGGUUUACUUGACUCUCAAACAAGGCUUACUUGACCCCUAAGCAAGCGACCCUUAUCUCUAAUUAACCCUAAGACUAAUGGGCCCAUUACGUACUCUAACACUACACCCCACCUGGACAUGCAGCUUGUCCUCGAGCUGCAGCCUAACCAACUUAUAACCAUGACUCGACGCAACACAAACCUAACACCUAAAAACAAGACUUUUACAUCUUGGCUUGUUUUAUUAUUCUCAACCUGAAAUAGACUAGGACGCUUUAUUUUGGACGUGCACGUGUACAGCCACAUGGAUCCCAUGGACACCACCUGGACAAAAGGAGUGCAUGUGUAUGGCUGUUUGUCUGCACUGCACAGGGAAGAGUGCAGGGCUUGCGAUGGAGAAUGAUGAGGAGGGGUGCGCCCCCCCAACCGUCGAUGUCGCAGACUUUGAGGUCGCUGCCCGCGGGGAAAACAACAUGCCGGCCGCCCGUGGGGAAAACCACAUGCCCAAGAUCCCCGACGCAGCGGACGAGAUCGAGGUCCUUUGCGCAGCGAAGGGCAACUUGGAGGAGCGGCAGCUGCAGACCACGCAUCUCCCGCACACGCCGACGCGCUAGGAGGCCGCGCGCAGCAGCCUGCAGCCUCACCGCCGCUGACACGUGGUGGGUAGCGAUCCAAGACGGAAGCGGUGACGGCGACGGCAGGGACUUGAUCUGCUGGAUGUGGACGCCCUGGGAUGGCGGCGGCGCUGAUGGGAACGAGGUCGUCGCACUCCCGUCGUAGGGCAUCCCAUACUGGGCGGCGGAGCUGACCGGCGGUGGCUGCUGCAGCUGCAGCGGCUGCUGCGCUGUCGCGCCGGGCGCGGCGGAGGCCGCCAGGAGCGGCGGCUGCCACUGCAGCCAGGGCUGGGCGGUGGUGGCGAUGGAUGGUAGUUGCAGCGGCCCGGCGAGUGCGGCGAAGGCUGCCUGAUGCGGCGGCUACCACGGCAGCCACGGCGGCGCGGGGGCGGCGAUGGGCGGCGCAACCGAGUGCGGCCCGUAGGACCCGGCCAAGAACAGGUGGAUCUCCUGGACCGCCUGGAUUAGGUCCCGCAGCACCCCGGACACGUCCUCCCAGGUGAGGACGGUGGGGGCGGGCGCGACAGAGGAUCCCGGCGCGGGCAGGAGCGGGGUGACGGUCGUGGUGGUCACCGGAGGCGACAAGGUGACCGGCAGCGGAAGAGACGGGCUUGGCGGUGGUGAAGACAUGAUCGAGCCGAAGCUAGCUGAUAUCAAAUUGUUAUGGUGUUGCUAAAAGGAGGGCACGAUAGGGCUGGUCGGGGGCCUUUCUGCCCACGGCCUGGCAAGAGGGAAGGGAUUUCAUUCUUAAUUCUUGCUUUAUUAAAUUGAUGCAUCUCCUCUCUUUAUAUAGAGAGGUUUACUUGACUCCCAAGCAAGGCUUACUUGACCCCUAAGCAAGCGACCUUUAUCUCUAAUUAACACUAAGACUAAUGGGCCCAUUACGUACUCUAACAAUAUAUAUAUAUAUAUAUAUAUAGACACACACACAAAUAAUAAUAAUAAUAAUAGCGUCAUUGACCAUUGGAUGUUAUUUUGUAGAUUUCACAACUUUAAUUGUUACAUGCAUAAAUAGAUUGCUCAUUGAUCCUCCGAAAGUGUCUACUCCAGAUAGUAGAAUGAAUUUUUUAUGCUAUGUUAACAAUGGAGUAUACUUGGUAAUUGUUUUUAAAAAGAUAGAACAAUUUGUAGUUAUUACAUAUGUAGAGAAUAGAUCUUCAUCCAUCAAAAUCAUACCUAAGCUUGUGUUGAUAAAUUAAGUGUAAGCCAUUCUUGUGCCUUGAAAGGGAAUAAAAUAUAGUUGUAAAUUGAUCAAUUACCUAAGACGUUUAGGUAUGAAAUAAUUGCCAAACUUGAUGAUACAGGUGGAAAGUGGCGGGACUUCGUUGAUGUCAAGUUGGGUGUCACCUGAAGCGCUUGCGGGUGGCUUGGCCACGUGUUGACUUGCACGCCGCACUGUCCUCAUACCGGCUGUCUUUGAUUCUCUUGGAUAGCGUGUUGGAGUCACAGUUUUAGCAACCAUUAAAUUGAGAUAGGAAGAAGAUGAACAAAGCUUAGAACUGUGAGUCAAAGAUGAGUCAGAGCUUGAGCAGCACGGACAUGCCACCUCGUACUCGUCAGCUAUGGUGACAUGUUCGUGGAUGUGUCUCAGACCGAAGUCAUUGCCGCUGGUCCGUGGUUCCAUGCAUCCUUGUUUGGAUUGGAGGCAACAGAGCGUGGGUUGGAGUCAACGGCCCUUGGAGAUGUGCAAUAGCAAGGCAAAGAAGCGGACGAAGGACAAAGCAGCGGUCUCUGCGUCCUAGUGGCUGCAUCCUGCUCGUCAAUAUCUCACCGUAGUCACUGCCGCCAUGUCAUCCCAUGUAGAUUUGGACCUGACCUCCUCUCAUUCUCCUAGGACGCUUGAGCGCUUCAGCCGGCGCUUCACUGAUGACGACGAAGGCAGGAUCAGAAGGGGCACGUUGCAGCCCCAAAGAAUUGGAAACCCUAGCAGCCGAGUUUCUCCUUAACGUGUGUGGUAAGGAACGUGAAGCCUGCUUAAGAUUUGAAGAGGAGCACGUGAGCGAAGAG
This 4816-nucleotide long non-coding RNA is filed under the name Triticum aestivum (bread wheat). RNAcentral describes it as "long non-coding RNA (TAES_LNC003182)". The record is from RNAcentral. Lineage: Eukaryota; Viridiplantae; Streptophyta; Magnoliopsida; Poales; Poaceae.